Molecule: long non-coding RNA, 2794 nt
Filed under: Homo sapiens (human)
Lineage: Eukaryota; Metazoa; Chordata; Mammalia; Primates; Hominidae
Description: HSALNT0396106
Source: RNAcentral
GCAUUGGGUCUAGAGUCGUUCCGGUCCCGCGGGGCAUGCUUUGAAGAGGCCUUCGUGUCAGGAAGAGGACUGGGCCUUGGCCCUCCCCCGCCGCCUCUAGGGCCGCAGCAAAUAGCAGCGCUGUUUUUCCAGAUCCUGGUGUACCGAGCAGCAGCAAAGGCGGUCCGGCGGCAGGCAUGUUCUCCUCCCCGGACCAGGCCGCACCGCCCCUGGUUAGCACCCGCCUCAGCGUCUCCGCCAUUCGCCGCGUAGCUCUGACCAAUCGGUGGCUCGUUCCCAGCCUUAGUCCCGCCCAAGCCGUGGCCGCAUCGGUACAGUUCACUUAGUUUCUCUAUUGGUCUAGGAAUCUGUCCAUCAAAACUCGAUUCCUCAGGUGAAUGGGCAAAUGGUUAGAACCUAUGCGGAGGAAUGGGUGCAUUCGAGGGAAAUAAGACCCUUCCCUGAGGGAGGCUGCUGGGGGAACCAGCACGAAUACUAUUAUUGUCAGCUAAUCAGACAAAUAUAAGGGUUGAAAGUUGGAGGAGUAGACCAGAAUGAGUGACAUAUUAUUUAAAGGCUCCUAGCCUCAGUUUGCCCUGCUGUAAAAUGGGGCUUAUGAUAUCUCAGAGGAGUAUUGUGAUCGGCAUGUAUUUGUGUGUGGUUUUGCUGAUGUCAUCCAAUGACAACUGAGAGUUUUGGAGAGGGGGAUGAGCUGUGUGCUUGUCUUUCUGUGCACCUGAGUAUGGGCCGGAGUGUGUGUCUGGGGACACAGGCUCGUGGACAAAACAUCAACGGCCAUCCCCGAAAGUCUGUGAGAUGAAGCCUCUCAACUUACUUCCUCACUGGCUAAGGGGUUCUGUGGGGCCGCCUUUGUGGUACGGGGGGAAGGCAGGACCGCAGGACAAAGAAGGAAGCAGGAGAGAUAAAGAGACAGGAGCUGGAAGACUGAAGGAGAGAUACAGCAGGGACAUUGUCUUGUUCACUUCUGUUCUCCAGUACCGAGAAUAGCACCUAGCACAUUUGUAGGUUCUCAAAUACGUGCUCGUUAAGACAAUGAAGGAAGGGAGGUGGGAUUGAUGAGAAACAGGGAGAAAGGGAGGAACAAAGUGAAUGAUCGUGAUCCCUGGCUGGAUCUUCUCACCCAGACUUCGCCCCAGAGCUGCCACUCACGCCUGUGUUGCCCUGGCAACCUUGUCUCCUGGUAACUCCAAAGUGGUGCCGUUGCCUGGAGACCCAGGGGCAGGGAGAAAGUGAGAUUUCCUGGGCUUUCUCUCUCCCUCUGGGACCAGAAAACAGACACACACCAUGGCAUCUCUGAAUAUAUUCUACUUUCAGAAUCCCCAUCAUCCACAUGCUCCAACCUUGCCCUAUCCUGACACAAAGCAUCCCAUACAAACUCUGUCCCACAUUCAUCCCCCACACCCUUUCUCUUGCAAAACACGCAACUAUGACAUUGCCACUACACACACAGACACACACAGUGAAGCACACCGAUACACUGCGCUGUCAAACACGCCACCUCAGCCCCCAUCCCCCAGCAGAUAUACAACGCAUGAUUCACCUCACAUUUCAACACUCCAAAUGCACAUACAGGCCAGGUGUGGUGGCUUAUGUCUGUAGUCCCAGUGCUUUGGGAGGCCAAGGCAAGAGGAUUGCCUGAGGCCAAGAGUUCAAGACCAGCCUGGGCAAUGUAGGGAGACCCCCAUCUCUACAAAAUACUUCAAAAUUAGCCAGGUGUUGGCCGGGCGCGGUGGCUCACGCCUGUAAUCCCAGCACUUUGGGAGGCCGAGGUGGGCAGAUCACAAGGUCAGGAGAUCAAGACCAUCCUGGCUAACACGGUGAAACCCAGCCUCUACUAAAAAUAGAAAAAAAAAUUAGCCAGGCAUGGUGGCAGGCGCCUGUAGUCUCAGCUGCUUGGGAGGCUGAGGCAGAAGAAUGGCGUGAACCCGGGAGAUGGAGCUUGCAGUGAGCCGAGAUCGCGCCACUGCACUCCAGCCUGGGCGACAGAGCGAGACUCUGUCUCAAAAAAAAAAAAAAAAAUUUAGCCAGGUGUGGUGGCGUGCACCUGUAGUCCCAGCUCCUUGGGAGUCUGAGGCAGGAGGAUUGCUUGAGCCCAAGGAAGUCAAAGCUGCAGUGAGCAGUGAUUGUGCCACUGCACUCCAGCCUGGGCAACAUAGCGAGACCCUAUCUCAACAAAAACAAACAAAAAUGCACAAAUACUCAGUAGUGACACCCACAUCACAGAGUCCAGCACAGUUACAUACAUGGGAGCAUGCUGAAUACAGCCUCACCACAAGUCCUUUGCACUUGAUGUUCUUGUGUGUGCAGCAGUCAGCUUCCAGAUAUCCUUCUGGCUUUUUUUUUUUUUUUUUUUUUUGAGAUGGAGUUUUGCUCUUGUUGCCCAGGCUGGAGUGCAAUGGUGCAAUCUUGGCUCAUCACAACCUCCGUCUCCCAGGUUCAAGUGAUUUUCCUGCCUCAGCCUCCCAAGUAGCUGGGAUUACAGGCAUGUACCACCACGCCCGGCUGAUUUUGUAUUUUUGGUACAGACGGGGUUUCUCCGUGUUGGUCAGACUGGUCUCAAACUUCUGACCUCAGGUGAUCUGCCCGCCUUGGCCUCCCAAAGUGCUGGGAUUACAGGUGUGAGCCACCGAGUCCAGCCGACUUUUUUUUCCCUCCACUCUUUUUAGGUCUUUGGUCAAAAUAUCAUCUACUCAGAGAGGCUUCCCCUGACUGCCUGCCCAAAAUUGCACACAUUUCACUCUUUAACUGAUUAUCUGUUUUUGUUGUUAUUGUUGUUGUGUUGUUUUGUUUUUUC